GAUGAAGAACGCAGCGAAAUGCGAUAAGUAAUGUGAAUUGCAGAAUUCAGUGAAUCAUCGAAUCUUUGAAUGCACAUUGCGCCCGCUAGUAUUCUGGCGGGCAUGCCUGUCCGAGCGUCAUUUCAACCCUCAAGCCCCCGGGCUUGGUGUUGGGGAUCGGCGAGCCUCCGCGCCCGCCGUCCCCUAAAUCUAGUGGCGGUCUCGCUGUAGCUUCCUCUGCGUAGUAGCACACCUCGCACUGGGAAACAGCGCGGCCACGCCGUUAAACCCCCAACUUCUGAACGUUUGACCUCGGAUCAGGUAGGAAUACCCGCUGAACUUAAGCAUAUCAAUAAGCGGAGGA
RNAcentral lists this unclassified non-coding RNA (343 nucleotides) under soil metagenome. RNAcentral describes it as "partial contains 5.8S ribosomal RNA, internal transcribed spacer 2, and large subunit ribosomal RNA". The stretch from base 1 to 120 matches the Rfam family "5.8S ribosomal RNA", at positions 35 to 154 of the family's 154-position model. The record is from RNAcentral.